Molecule: ribosomal RNA, 164 nt
Filed under: uncultured bacterium
Lineage: Bacteria
Description: partial 16S ribosomal RNA
Rfam family: Bacterial small subunit ribosomal RNA
Source: RNAcentral
UAGGGAAUCUUCCACAAUGGACGAAAGUCUGAUGGAGCAACGCCGCGUGUGUGAUGAAGGCUUUCGGGUCGUAAAGCACUGUUGUAUGGGAAGAACAGCUAGAAUAGGAAAUGAUUUUAGUUUGACGGUACCAUACCAGAAAGGGACGGCUAAAUACGUGUCAG